GCCUUCUUAGCUCAGUUGGUAGAGCGCGUCACUAGUAAUGACGAGGUCAGUCGUUCAAAUCGGCUAGAAGGCA
Transfer RNA from Sphaerobolus stellatus SS14, 73 nucleotides. It matches the Rfam family "tRNA". Rfam says of the family: Transfer RNA (tRNA) molecules are approximately 80 nucleotides in length. Their secondary structure includes four short double-helical elements and three loops (D, anti-codon, and T loops). Further hydrogen bonds mediate the characteristic L-shaped molecular structure. tRNAs have two regions of fundamental functional importance: the anti-codon, which is responsible for specific mRNA codon recognition, and the 3' end, to which the tRNAs corresponding amino acid is attached (by aminoacyl-tRNA synthetases). tRNAs cope with the degeneracy of the genetic code in two manners: having more than one tRNA (with a specific anti-codon) for a particular amino acid; and 'wobble' base-pairing, i.e. permitting non-standard base-pairing at the 3rd anti-codon position. The record is from Rfam. Lineage: Eukaryota; Fungi; Basidiomycota; Agaricomycetes; Geastrales; Sphaerobolaceae.